RNAcentral lists this ribosomal RNA (547 nucleotides) under uncultured organism. RNAcentral describes it as "bacterial SSU rRNA". It matches the Rfam family "Bacterial small subunit ribosomal RNA", at positions 927 to 1470 of the family's 1533-position model. The record is from RNAcentral.
AAGCGGUGGAGCAUGUGCUUUUAAUUCGAUGCUACGCGAAGAACCUUACCUGGGUUUGACAUGGGGCUGAAAGUCUCCAGAGAUGGAAGCCUUUCCUUCGGGAACACCCCACACAGGUGCUGCAUGGUUGUCGUCAGCUCGUGUCGUGAGAUGUUGGGUUAAGUCCCGCAACGAGCGCAACCCCUGCCCUUAGUUGCCAUCAGGUAAAGCUGGGAACUCUAAGGGGACAGCUUGGUAUAACCAGGAGGAAGGUGGGGAUGACGUCAAAUCAUCAUGGCUCUUACGCCCAGGGCUAGACACGUGCUACAAUGGCAGGUACAGUGGGAUGCCAACCUGCGAAGGUGAGCUAAUCCCUUAAACCUGUCUCAGUCCGGAUUGGAGUCUGCAACUCGACUCCAUGAAGUUGGAAUCGCUAGUAAUCGCGGAUCAGCAUGCCGCGGUGAUACGUUCCCGGGCCUUGUACACACCGCCCGUCAAGCCAUGAAAGGCGGUAGUACCCGAAGUCGCGUACCCAACCGUAAGGAGGGAAGCGCCGAAGGUAAGACUG